CUGGUUGAUUCUGCCAGUGGUCAUAUGCUUGUGUUAAAGAUUAAGCCAUGCAUGCCUUAGUAUAGGUAGAUUUAACCGAAACUGCGGAUGGCUCAAUAAACCAGUCAUAAUCAAUUUGGUGAAGCAAAGUAGAAGGAUAACCCUGCUAAUUGUAGAGCUAAUACACGACCAUGAUAUCCGAUCUCGUAUGAGAGAAGAUAGCAUUUGUCAGCUCAAUUUUCCUGUAUGGUGGUAACACCGACUACAGGAGAAGGGUGUAGGGACCCAGCCAUGCCCAUUCUAACAGACACAACACCUCUGCCCAGGAAGCAAAACAUACAAAACCGAGUCUUGCGGUGUAGCGCACACAAACCCCCGCUCCACCGUUUGUUUUAUUUCCCUUCUUUCCAAGCUCUUCCUCUUUUGGGGGAAGAGAAGAGAGAGGAGCGGAGAGGACUUAGAAGACAAGUGUAACCAAAGGGGGCUAUGGAGGUGUGGUGGGCGGCAGAUAGGGGCUUGCACCUUAGAAGCCACAGUUGCAGAGCGAUGAAUACAGACAAACGGAAUUUUCGUCUCUUGUCUCCGACUUUAUUGUGGGAGGCAAGAGAGGAGGGUUCAACAGCGGAUCGCAUUUUUUAAAGCGCGGGUGGUAACACCUGUCGCGGCGACAGACCAAACGAAUGACUGACCUAUCAAGCUGAUGGUAGGAUAGGGGCCUACCAAGCUGACCACGGGUAACGGGGAAUUAGGGUUCGAUUCCGGAGAGGGAGCCUGAGAAAUGGCUACCACUUCCAAGGAAGGCAGCAGGCGCGUAAAUUACUCGGUGCCGAGACGGCGAGGUAGUGACGACAAAUACCAAUGCCCACGGGUCCAUGUGGCCUGGGGCAAUUGGAAUGAGCACAAGAUAAAUCUCUGUGCGAGUAGCAAUUGGAGGGCAAGUCUGGUGCCAGCAGCCGCGGUAAUUCCAGCUCCAAGAGUGUAUAUUAAAGCUGUUGCGAUUAAAACGCUCGUAGUCGAAUUUGGAGGUCAAUUUAUCUUUUUUUUUUGUUUUCGCUUUUUCCGUCAAAAGAAAAAGAGACAACAAAAAAGGGGAUAAUUUAUAGAGUGUACUUUCUAGCGCCACGGGAUUUAGAAGUGAGGCGCUAUUCUCUUCUUAGGGAGAGAAGUGCUCUUUAAAGACCUCUCUGUCAUACGAACAAGUGUGGGACACGCGGGAGCUGCCCUUUGAUGGGACAUUUGCUUUAUAAACAAACUGCGCCACACAGAUUACUUUGAAGAAAAUAGAGUGUUUCAAGCAGAUCGGAAUGGAUGAUGAAUAUCAUAGCAUGGGAUAAUAAUGUGAAGACAAGGGAAGUGGGGGAAGCAAGCGCAAGCAGACCAGAGACCACAAUUUAGACCGCAGGCGUGGGCCUGUCGCCCAAUGGCAAGCACAUGCUUACUUUUACUCGGUUUUGGAGCGGGACGGUGCAUAGCCCUCUACAACAAGGGCUAUGGACAACAGAGCCAAGGUUCAGUGACGUCACGACCUCUAAUAGAGCGGGAGACAAGGAGAAGAAGACCCUUGCGGGGGGCUUCUGGACAGCCAGUGCGGUGCACAGGUACUUUGGACAGGAUACUGGGUCUUUCUUCGGAGGGACACAGGAUUUUGGCUUCUCGGCAACAACCUCUUCAGCAAAGAAUAGGAACAAACGGGGUGGUUUAUACUUUAUAGCGAGAGGUGAAAUUCUAUGAGCUAUGAAAGAUAAACAAAAGCGAAAGCAUUCCACAAGAAUGUUUCCAUUGAUCAAGAACGAAAGUUGGGGGAUCGAAGAUGAUCAGAUACCAUCGUAGUCUCAACCAUAAACUAUGCCGACCAGGGAUUGGGGGAAGGUAGCAGCAUAAAGCUUUUUUUUCUCCGGAAGAAAACGAUUUAUGAUGCGAAUCGAAAUGAGACUGGCAUUUCUAUUUAUUCUGUUUGGAUAUUUCCACUCGUUCUCCUACCCAAGGGGAAGGAGCAAAUGAUCUAGAUAGUGGAUAGAGUAUACAAUGCUUCAAGAGAAAACAAGUCUCUACUAGACUCUUCCAGCACCUAGAAGAGAAAUCGAAUAAGUGUUUGGGCUUCGGGGGGAGUAUGGUCGCAAGGCUGAAACUUAAAGGAAUUGACGGGAGGGCACACCAGGAGUGGAGCCUGCGGCUUAAUUUGACUCAACACGGGGAAACUUACCAGGGCCAGAUAGCAGGAGGAUUGACAGAUUGAGAGCUCUUUCUUGAUUUGCUAGGUGGUGGUGCAUGGUCGUUCUUAGUUGGUGGUGUGAAUUGUCUGGUUAAUUCCGAUAACGAACGAGACCUUAACUUAUUAAGUACAUCUCCGGGAUGCGGGGCUUUUUCUCUUUUUUCUUAUCCCCUUUUUUCCCUGUCUUUUCUUGUGUGCUUUCUUUUCGGAGGAGGUGCCUGGGGAGAGGCGGGGAGAGAAGGAUAGGAAAGGACAAAAGCCAAACACCACUCCCAGCUCCAGGGCAGGUCACUUUGGGCCAUUUUGUUUUGGGCUUUCUAGGGGAGCGAUUUCCUAGGAUUUCCGGGCGGGUGGUAUAGGGUGAUUCAAGCCGGGAGGCGCAAAAACGCGAGAUUUCUUAAAAGGACUAUUCGUGUUUAUAAUAAACCUAACGGAUGGAAGUUUGAGGCAAUAACAGGUCUGUGAUGCCCUUCGAUGCUCUGGGCCGCACGCGCGCUACAAUGAUGGAUUCAAGGAGUUUUUUUCUAAUAGGGGCUAUUUCAUUGUUUUCCUUUUUUGUUUUUUUCUUCGGAAAGGAGUGGAAGAGGGAAACAGAGAGAUGUGACCCUUGGAAUACCCGAGCCCGAGAGGGUGAGCAGGUAAACUUAGGAAAGUCCGUCAUACUGGGGAUAGAUGAUUGGAAUUGUUGGUCUUGAACGAGGAAUUCCUAGUAAGCGCAAGUCAACAGCUUGUGCUGAUUACGUCCCUGCCCUUUGUACACACCGCCCGUCGCUAGUACCG
RNAcentral lists this ribosomal RNA (2971 nucleotides) under Endolimax piscium. Its description in RNAcentral is "partial 18S ribosomal RNA". The stretch from base 618 to 2971 matches the Rfam family "Eukaryotic small subunit ribosomal RNA". Lineage: Eukaryota; Evosea; Mastigamoebida; Endamoebidae. The record is from RNAcentral.